CCAGGCCAGGAGGAGUUCACUUUUAGAGGCUGCAGGAGCACGCUGUUUGCCACCUGGAUAUUUUCGGCGAGGGCUCGACAGAUGCUGAGUAGUGGGUGUAUCGCUUUCCUAGCGACAGUUGUGGAGGUACCUACGGCGGCGCCGAGACUCGAGGAUAUCCCUAUAGUCCGCGAGUUUCCGGAUGUGUUUCCCCCUGAGUUGACGACGUUGCCGCCGGAGAGGGAGAUUGAGUUUGUGAUUGAUGUAGUUC
This 250-nucleotide long non-coding RNA is filed under the name Ananas comosus (pineapple). RNAcentral describes it as "long non-coding RNA (ACOM_LNC030742)". Lineage: Eukaryota; Viridiplantae; Streptophyta; Magnoliopsida; Poales; Bromeliaceae. The record is from RNAcentral.